This 29-nucleotide small RNA is filed under the name Bombyx mori (domestic silkworm). Its description in RNAcentral is "ovarian small RNA-19294". Lineage: Eukaryota; Metazoa; Arthropoda; Insecta; Lepidoptera; Bombycidae. The record is from RNAcentral.
UAAGGAACUCAGAUAAUGCUUGGCGCUUA